Molecule: long non-coding RNA, 3090 nt
Filed under: Lynx pardinus (Iberian lynx)
Lineage: Eukaryota; Metazoa; Chordata; Mammalia; Carnivora; Felidae
Source: RNAcentral
CUCAAAUCCCAAGUCCUCCACUCACCAGCUCUAAGACACCGGAUGAGACAUUUAACCUCUUCUUGUCCUGAUUUCCUCCUCUGUAAAAUGGGGAGCACGCUGGGACCUGCUUCAGAGCGGUUACGAGUUUGAAAUGAGUUCAGAUACAGAAAACACUUGGAACAGCGCCUGCAUGGUAAGCUCUUGAUAGAUAUUAGCUGUCUUUAUUAUUACAACCAUUCAUGUGGUUGUUAUUACCGUGGAGCUAUUUCAAGGGUGUCUGUCUUGUCUACACAAUAAGAUUCUAAACUUCUGAAGUGUGCGGAGCUUAGCACAGGCUGGGCCAUACGGUAGAUGAUAAAUACUCAGUGAGUGUAUAAAUUAAUCAUUAAAUUCAUAAUUAAUCACAUCUUGUAAUUAAUAUAUGAAGGAACAGAUGACAAUGACCAGGGUAACAACACUAAAUAAUAGUAUUAUUGAUCCCUUGAUGGUCACUUAAUACAGACCAGGAUUCCAUUUCUCAUCGCAGCAAGAAAACUGGGGCACAAACUGGGGCACAAAGAACUUAAGCAGUUGGUCCAUGUUCUUGAGCUACUAAGUACUUGAGCUGUUGUUUCACUCCAAACUUUUCCCGGGCAAGAACUCGUCUCUUCUUAACCACAACACUGUGUUGGUUUUCUCUGAUGAAACUGGAAAAAGUUUCUGGCGGGAGGUGAAUAGCAAAGUUGCUACAAGUUGCUUGCUAGCCUCUCCAGGGGAGUAACUGAAUCUUGUUUAAUUUUGUUUCCUUAGCUCCAGGAAAGGAAUUCACAUAAAGUAGACACCUAAGGAAAUGAGCAUUGGGUGUGUUUGCAUGGAUGGGUGGGGUGCAUGGAUGGGUGGGUGAUGGAUGGGUGGGGUGCAUGGACAGGUGGGUGCAUGGAGGGUGGGUGCAUGGACGGGUGGGGUGCAUGGAUGGGUGAGUGUGUACAUAGAUACAUGGGGAAUGGAUGGGUAGGGUGAUGGGUGGAUGGAUGAUGGAGUGGAGAGAGCAGGUGGGUGCAUGAAUGAUGUUCAGUUGGAAGGGUGGCUGAGUGGAUGCACAUGUGGGNGGGUGCAUGGACGGGUGGGGUGCAUGGACGGGUGGGGUGCAUGGAUGGGUGGGUGAUGGACGGGUGGGUGCCUGGAGGGUGGGUGCAUGGAUGGGUGGGGCGCAUGGACGGGUGGGGUGCAUGGACGGGUGGGGUGCAUGGAUGGGUGAGUGUGUACAUAGAUACAUGGGGAAUGGAUGGGUAGGGUGAUGGGUGGAUGGAUGAUGGAGUGGAGAGAGCAGGUGGGUGCAUGAAUGAUGUUCAGUUGGAAGGGUGGCUGAGUGGAUGCACAUGUGGGCAGAUAGGAGUAUGAUGAGUAGGUGGAAGGAUGGGCAUGUGGCUAAGUAGGUGGCGGAAGUGAGAGAGUGUCCUCUCCGUGUUAUUCUGCAGAGUGACACUCAGAGAACCCCGAGACAGGGAGACGUGGGAAACCGAUGUGCAUUUGGAGGUGAAAGAAGCUGGAAAAAUCGUUGCUGGCAGUGCUGUUCCUGGAAGGGAGACGAAGGCGGGAAGACACAUUUGGGUUACAGGAAGAGGCGGCCCCUCAUGCAGCAUCUUUAGUCUAUAAGGGCCCAGGGCUCUGCGCUGAAAGCACUAAUUGGAUUUCAUUAAAGCGAAAUAGAUUUCCUAGCACUGGAAGAGCCAGUUCAUUAAUUUCACACAUGCUCUACUGGAGGAAGGCAUAGGGAAGGGCAGCCAGCCCCAGUCUCCCCAGGCUAAGAUCAGAGCUGGGAGCCCGCUGCAGUUUGGUGCAGAGCCUGGAUUCUGAGCACCUGCUCCAUGCCAGUGCCUGGGCUGGCCAUCGGGGGUGCAGUGAUGAACCAGAUACAACCACCACCUCCGGUAACUCGGUCUUGGAGGAGGCAGCCGCACGAGGCAGGGCGUGCACAGUGACAGGGUGCUGGACAAGGGUAAGCAACACAGAAUGUCUGACCUGUGCUGCUGGGGGUCCUGGGGGUAGGGUGGAGGUAAAGAGCAGAGAAGGGAGAAGUUGGCCCAGCUGCCCUAAGGCUCACGGGGCCAUGGUUUGCACGAAGGUUUUCAUGCCCAGAGUGGGCAACACCAAGGGAGGAGACAAGCAGGGGUGCUGGGGUUCAUCUAAAAUUCUUCGAAAAUAUUCACUGAACACUCAUGGUGUUGUCAGGUGUGUUCCAGGUACUGUACAUCCCGUGGAGCAGACCGACCUGGUGCUGGAGCUGAGAAGAGUGAUCUGGGCCGGAAUUUUAAAUUGGGGACAUUUGAACAUAUAAAAGGUGGUCAAUGCCCAGGUCCGGAUGACGUCACCAGGGGAGAGGGUAGGAGGGGCGGGGUCAUCUUAGUUCUUUCUCCUCUCAGAGCAAGAAUUCCUUCCACACCUUCCACUGACAGGUGGCUCCCCAGCCCCUGCUUGCAUGCUCCAAUGACAGGGAGCUCACUACCAGCCAAGCCAGUCCAGCCUGCUUUUGGAAGUCCUGGCUGUUAGUUAAAUUCUUUUGUAUGCGGGCCAAAGUCUCCCUUCCCUUUUGAUUUUACUCCUUUGUUCUGAUUCCAUCUGCUGGAGACCCGGCCCGUCCAGUCGGCUCCCUCUUUGCCAUGAUCUGCUAGAACCCACAGAUGUGGUUCACCACACCUUCCUUCUUCUCCGAUAGUGGGUCCCUGGGUUUCUUCUGAGGGUACCGCACCGUCCCCACUGCCGUCUCCCAUCCCAGGAAGCGACAAAGUCUUGUUUUAACGUCUGAACCGUGGCCUUAGAGACCAGAAGAAGAGGGGACACUUAAAACUAAGAGACUUCCCUUCUGUGUCUUUAUUAAACACACCCAGUUCCUUCUGCCACUCUUAGCUGCCUCAGUGGCUACCCCAGAUAUUUUUGUCUCUGGGUUGGGGUCUCCACGCUGGAGGUCAUCACAUGAAACCAGUGGCCGUACCAGGGACCCCCUCAUCUUACACAAGCUUUUUUUAUUUAUUUUUAAAAAUUUGCUUAUUUUUGGGGCGCCUGGGUGGCUUGGUCGGUUGGGCGGCCGACUUCGGCUCAGAUCAUGAUCUCGCGGUCCAUGAGUUCGAG